Long non-coding RNA from Mauremys reevesii (Reeves's turtle), 1023 nucleotides. RefSeq lists it as uncharacterized. NCBI's taxonomy places the organism in Eukaryota, Metazoa, Chordata, Testudines, Geoemydidae. The record is from RefSeq and is a predicted model, not a curated record. The transcript has 3 exons.
UGAUGGGGCGGAAAGGGGCCAAGCGCAUCAUGGGCUUCCUGGGGCUGCAGCCCCCGGCGCAGUUCCUCAUUCUGCUCACACUCGGGCCUCAGUGGAGCUGGGCACCAGGGAGUUGGUGGCAGCGCUGAGGGGUCCUUCACUGCCCCGUCAUGGCGUCUACUCUCACCGUCCUCCUCCUCGGCUGCUGGGUGGCCGGGCGGAGCGGGAUGUCAGGAGAACUGAUUUCCACAGAACAUUGGAACAGGAACAGGAAGCUGCAAUGCAAAAAAGAACAACAAUUACUGCUAAACCCACAACAAAAUGGUGACCCUAAAAAGUCUGUUACUGCCUUGAAAUCAGCUCAGAGACAGAUUCUGGCUGAUGGAUUUUUACCAGUGGCCCCUUAGGCUGUUCCGUUUUGCCUUUAGAAAGGGUGGCUGGCAGGAUAUGGUCAAAUAUUCACCAAUACAGUGAAUACGUGCUACGUUAUUAAUUUUUAUUUUAAAUUAUACAAAAUACAAACAUAAAAUUUUACUACUACAUGGGGUGAUCCUCACGGGGGGAAAUGUCACCAUCUGGUGUCGGCAUCAGCGUCUGGGCGUGAGGAUCCUCCUUUACAAGGCUGGAGAUGGGAACUAUCUGACUUACACAGACCCUGCUGACUCUGAGGAUGAAUUUGCUGCCAUUGGUAUCACACUGGAAUAUUAUUAUAGCGACGGAUCAGGAGACAUUACCCGAUCGGAGCCCAGCGAUCCUGUAACAGGUGAGCGGCCCAGCCCGGGACCUUGGCUCCCAGCCCCACACCCAGCCAGGCCCCAGGGUUCUGUGUGAGUCCUGGCGCUGCCCAGCAGAUGGGACGUCCAGCCAGUGAAGGUUGAGUGUCUGUGUGGGGGGGAUCUCGGCCCCCUGGAGGUGGGUAUGUGAGGAGAUCUCAGGUGGUGCCUUGGUGCCCUGGAUCCUAGGGGAGACCCUGACCCUGUCUCUGCCCCGUCGCUGAUGCUCCACGCUGGGGACGGGGCGCAGUGGCCGUGCCGGGGUCUGUCU